AGUGAACGCUGGCGGUAGGCCUAACACAUGCAAGUCGAACGGCAGCACAGUAAGAGCUUGCUCUUACGGGUGGCGAGUGGCGGACGGGUGAGGAAUACAUCGGAAUCUACUUUUUCGUGGGGGAUAACGUAGGGAAACUUACGCUAAUACCGCAUACGACCUACGGCUGAAAGCAGGAGAUCUUCGGACCUUGCCCGAUUCAAUGAGCCGAUGUCGGAUUAGCUAGUUGGCGGGGUAAAGGCCCACCAAGGCGACGAUCCGUAGCUGGUCUGAGAGGAUGAUCAGCCACACUGGAACUGAGACACGGUCCAGACUCCUACGGGAGGCAGCAGUGGGGAAUAUUGGGCAAUGGGCGCAAGCCUGAUCCAGCCAUACCGCGUGGGUGAAGAAGGCCUUCGGGUUGUAAAGCCCUUUUGUUGGGAAAGAAAAGCAGCAGGUUAAUACCCCGCUGUUCUGACGGUACCCAAAGAAUAAGCACCGGCUAACUUCGUG
Molecule: ribosomal RNA, 492 nt
Filed under: uncultured bacterium
Lineage: Bacteria
Description: partial 16S ribosomal RNA
Rfam family: Bacterial small subunit ribosomal RNA
Source: RNAcentral